CCUACGGGAGGCUGCAGUGAGGAAUAUUGGUCAAUGGACGAGAGUCUGAACCAGCCAAGUAGCGUGAAGGAUGACUGCCCUAUGGGUUGUAAACUUCUUUUAUAUGGGAAUAAAAUGUUCCACGUGUGGGCUUUUGUAUGUACCAUAUGAAUAAGGAUCGGCUAACUCCGUGCCAGCAGCCGCGGUAAUACGGAGGAUCCGAGCGUUAUCCGGAUUUAUUGGGUUUAAAGGGAGCGUAGGUGGAUUGUUAAGUCAGUUGUGAAAGUUUGCGGCUCAACCGUAAAAUUGCAGUUGAAACUGGCAGUCUGGAGUACAGUAGAGGUGGGCGGAAUUCGUGGUGUAGCGGUGAAAUGCGUAGAUAUUAGGAAGAACACCAGUGGCGAAGGCGGCUUGCUGGACUGAAACUGACGCUGAGGCACGAAAGCGUGGGGAGCGAACAGGAUUAGAUACCCUUGUAGUC
Molecule: ribosomal RNA, 460 nt
Filed under: uncultured bacterium
Lineage: Bacteria
Description: partial 16S ribosomal RNA
Rfam family: Bacterial small subunit ribosomal RNA
Source: RNAcentral